CGAUACGAGUUUGAUCCUGGCUCAGAAUCAACGCUGGCGGCGUGCCUCAGACAUGCAAGUCGAACGAUUAAAGCUCUCUUCGGAGAGUGUAUAGAGUGGCGCACGGGUGAGUAACACGUAAGUAAUCUACCCUCGAGUGGGGAAUAACAACCGGAAACGGUUGCUAAUACCGCAUAAUGCAGCGGCACCGCAAGGUGACAGUUGUUAAAGAUUUAUCGCUUGAGGAGGAGCUUGCGGCAGAUUAGCUAGUUGGUAGGGUAACGGCUUACCAAGGCUACGAUCUGUAACCGGUCUAAGAGGACGGUCGGUCACACUGACACUGAAUAACGGGUCAGACUCCUACGGGAGGCAGCAGUCGGGAAUUUUGGGCAAUGGGCGAAAGCCUGACCCAGCAACGCCGCGUGAAGGAUGAAGUAUUUCGGUAUGUAAACUUCGAAAGAAUAGGAAGAAUUAAUGACGGUACUAUUUAUAAGGUCCGGCUAACUACGUG
RNAcentral lists this ribosomal RNA (490 nucleotides) under uncultured bacterium. RNAcentral describes it as "bacterial SSU rRNA". It matches the Rfam family "Bacterial small subunit ribosomal RNA", at positions 1 to 507 of the family's 1533-position model. The record is from RNAcentral.